GUGAGAUAAAGGGUGUAAAAUGACAAGAAAGGUUGAGGGCGUGUUUCUGGUUUGUUCUCAGGGAGCAUGGGGCUGAUGGCUUGCUGCGUGGGGCACAGAGAGGUGACACGGGGCUCUCCCUAUAUUGCUGGGCUGCAAGAGGGCCCAUUGAUCACUGGGCAGCGUCCGACCCAGUUAAUAGCGCAGAAAAUGAUGAUGUACUUGGGCCAGGAAAGAAGGACUUUCUGGAUUUUUCUGGGCACGGCCACUGUCAGUGUUUCUGAGAAGAAGGAUCCGGCAUGUGGUUCAUCUCACCUUGGCGUUUGCCAUAAAGGAGUCAGGGAAAACAAAAGGCCUCACAAGACAGUCACGUGGCCGUGGUUCAUCCCAUGACAGGCCCAAGUUUGAGGGGAGAGGGGCCCUGGAAGCCUGGACUGGUCCUAGAUCAACUUUGGUCCUUGGGCCUUAGGGAGCAAACGUCAUUAAUCCAUUAACCCAGUUUUCAGCUGGCAAACCCUCUCUCCACUCUCAGUCUCUGUGCUUUGGAUGAAACUAACUUUAUCGCUGUCUCCAGGGAAUCGGUGUGGUAUUGAAGCCUGGCCAAUCAGAGCAUCACAUUCUUCAACCCAGUGAUAGGUUCAGAAAUGGGCGUGUGACCCUAUCAGAGCCAAAGAGUAAUGACAACAAAAGCCUGGAGCUACAAGGCGCCAUCACAUAGAACCUGAGAAUGAAGCAAUAACUGCAGAAAGGGGAACCAAUAGAUGGAGAGAAUCUGAGUCCUGAGGUCAUUGGCUGAGAUGCUGAUCAAGCUGAACCUGAAGCCGGUGCUUCCCCUGGACUUUCAGGGAGUCUCUACCACCUGGACUGAAGACUGACUUGGAUCUCGGGGCCAACAGAACUUUGUUCCAAGUUCCAAGGCCAUCGUUGGAAUCAGUCCCUGCACAUAUGGAAGCGCACAGGGGCACGGUUUGGGAUUAUUGGGAGAAUGCAUGAGUCAAUGGCUACGGAAAAUGCUGCACACCUACUCUGUGAAGAGGGAAGCGCCAAGAACAACUGCCACUUUCAUUUGGGGUCAGGAUUCUUGAUUCCUGCUGUCUGUUGACGUCUAUAAUCUUGGUGUUAUGCUUACAAGGGAGAGCCUCAAGCAGUAUUAAGUAUAUUAUUUUAAGAAUGAUGUGGCUUCUGGCAUCAUAUUUUGAAAAUCAAAGAUUGUAAUUUUAGGGAUAAUGGAAUACUCAAAAGGGAGUAUUCUGUAAAACUGAGGGCGUAUGGUCAGCAGAGAGAUAUUCUUUACAAAUACUGGACUACGAAUUAGGAGACGACCUCAAGUCCCUCCUCCGUCAGUGAUCUUGAGCCAUUGUGGCAACACAUUCUGGGCCUUGUUCCCCCCCCAUCUGUAAAAUGGGGGUGUUUGACUCAUUGUUUCUUAACUGGGGUGAAUUCUGGAGUCACCUGGGAAGAUCCCCAAAGGCAGAAUUCUGGUUUUGUUUCUUGUUGUGUUUCUAAGGCAUAGAAAAGUACUUGGCACAGGGUAAAUACUCAAUAAAUAUUUUUUUAAUGAAGAAAUAAAACUUUUAAAAAAUUCACAGAGCAGGAUCCAGUCCAGAAUGCUCACAUCGUAUGGGCUAGAAACUGUACAUACAUUUUGUAAAAGCCCUCUGGAUCAUUUUGCCAAGCACUCUGGGCUUAAGAACCACUAAACCCAACAAUCCCCAAGGUUCCUUCCCUGAAGAAUUGUCAGAUUUAGCAAAGAAAAAUGUAAGACAUCCAGUUAAAUUUGAAUUUCAGAUAAACAAUGAAAAUGUUUUAGUGUAAAUAUGUACCAUGCUCUAUUUGGUUGUCGCAAAACUUGUAGAAAGAUGACUAGGUAAGGCUUCUGCUUAGGCUGAUGGUUAGAGGCAGAGGGUGGCACCUUGAAACUGGCCCAGAUUUGGGAAUCAGACAGAUAAUCUUGGUCUGAGUCUCUGCCCUGAUUGUGUGAUCUGAACAAAUUGCUCAACUUCACUGGGCUUCGUAACUCGAGUGUCUAUCCUGUAGAGCUGCUGAAAGUAUUGGAGAUAUUACAGGAAUGAUGGUAGCAGGUAUCUGAUAACGUUUAGCUGUUUUUACUGUUGGUUUGAAGAAAGAAACUCAGUAUCAAUGAGACCUUUGUUGAAACACUGUCAACUAGCAAACUGGCAUUCUGAAAUGACCAAGAUUAUAGAUAAUAGUUCUGGGCAGACCUGGGCAAAGUUAGAGGGAACGCUGAUCUUCUUUAGAACAAUACCUCUAUGUGUGGGGGAACAAAACAUACUAAAAAUUAAUAGAUUAUCCAGAAUAAAUAAAGGAAGGAAGUUCUUUCGUUUCAUUCAUUAUAAAAUGUCAUUUGCUCAACUGACUUUUUCUAAUGUCAAAGGUAAACAUUUGUUCAGGUUUUACAGGGUCACUAUACAGAGGGAUAGACUAUUAUU
This 2429-nucleotide long non-coding RNA is filed under the name Equus asinus (donkey). Its description in RNAcentral is "lncRNA (ENSEASG00005033985.1)". The record is from RNAcentral. Lineage: Eukaryota; Metazoa; Chordata; Mammalia; Perissodactyla; Equidae.